This is a long non-coding RNA of Vicia villosa (hairy vetch), 1713 nucleotides long. RefSeq lists it as uncharacterized. NCBI's taxonomy places the organism in Eukaryota, Viridiplantae, Streptophyta, Magnoliopsida, Fabales, Fabaceae. The transcript is spliced from 5 exons. The record is from RefSeq and is a predicted model, not a curated record.
UUCUAUUUUCCUUCUUUCUCUCUCCCACUCAUCUAACUCUUCCAUUUCUUCAAACUUCUCUUUUCCUCUUCUCUCUAUCAAAUCUACGUUUUUCCUCUUCUCUCUUCAUCUGACUUUUCCAUUUUUUUAAUUCUUCUCUCAUGGUUCUUCUAUGGUGGCUUCAAACAUAACACACUAAACCAAAUCUACUACAAAGCUUUUAUUUUGAAACCCUAACCGAUGUCACAAAUGGAAGUGAUGCACGCGCCUGUUUACUUUGAGAAAUUCGAUGUGCAUGGUGAUAUGAAAGUUGUUUCCCUUGAAUCGAUCCAUAAGAAUAAGUUAUACGAAGAAGAUGGAGAUCUUUUUGUGGGUUAUGGCUUCAUUUCAUGCAAGGAAGUAGAAAAAGCAAAUAUGAUUUUUUUUUGAUGUGGUUGUGUGCACGGGUUGUGGAGGAAAUCUUCUUCUUUUCGAUGAGAUUGAGACAAUAGCUAAGAGUUGUGAGAUAUCUUCUACACCAUUUGCAAAAGGGUUCAAGGUGAUCUGCUUGCUAUAUCGACUAUGGGCGUGAUUGUGAACUUCAGUUGCUUGGAGCAAAGGGGUAUCAAUCAGAAUCGGGGAGACGGCGACGGCUAAGGGGUAUCAAUCAUGAAUGUAAUGUAAUUAUGUUUUUAUUAAUCAUAUAGUGAAAACUAAUUUAAUAUUCUCCGUAGAUUACAGUUUUCAAUGUAUAUGAUAUAGUUUUCAUUCUCAUGGAUUCCAAGGCAAACAUGGAGUAUAAAAAUUCACAAGGUAAUUAACACUUUACCUUCCUAAAAUUCAGCUAAUUACACUUUCGACCCGAUUUCUGCAUUGAUUUGCAAAUAAUAUUCGACAACAAAUGUUCUUGAAUGAAUGCAAAUCCUAACUCACUGUUGCUUAUUUAGGAGAAACGCCUUUAGAUUGUGCUCCUGUUACACUUGAAUAAAAAAUGUAACAGAAAAUUGAAGAAAGCAUAUCAAUGGGCCAAAUGAAUUGAAUACCGACAUUUAAGUUAUGAUAUGGCUCUUUGCCUGAAAGCAUAAUGAAACUCUCUGCUACACUAUAUUAUGGGGGUUGGAAUUCAAGUAACUGUUAAACCUCUUGGGGAGGAAGUAUUCAUUGAUGAUGAUAAAGUGUGAGUAGGUCUCAUUAGUAACUAUGAAAUCUGUUAUUUUAUUCAUACUAAUUAGAUUAUUCAAUUAACAAUAUGUAUUCCCAUGUCUCUAAGAAAGGCAUUUCACGGCGAGGUUACAUUUCUUCAGAAAGCAAGGCAUCCAAAUGUCAUCCAAUUUUUGGGUUGGCAUGACAUAAAACACUCCAAUUUUUGUCUGUUUUUCUGUUUAUUUCUAUUUAGAUAUGUGGGAAAAACUUAUAUGAAUGAACAAUCUUCUAGAAGUCAGUUUGUAUUCACUCUUCGAAUAUAUGUUGUGAAUGAGUUGUUUGGAUUCAUCUAACGUACACCAAAUUGCGACUUGGUAGAAGUAUGUCUAUCAAUACAUAUAUCAAUAAUUAGGACCAUAUAUGUCAUUCCUUUUAUUGCCUAUAUAAAUGUCUUAUUAGUGUUGUAAUUGGUUGAGUUUGUUUUGAUUGAGAAAUCUUAUAGAGGUCUUAUUAUUGUCUAUAUAGAGGUCUUUUGUGGAUUUGUAUUUUAUGUUGUUCACGCACUCUAGAAAAGUUUAUGAGUUGUAAUUUUCCAAUGUACUGGAUUGAGCA